GACGAACGCUGGCAGCGUGCCUAAUACAUGCAAGUUGAGCGCUGAAGGUUGGUACUUGUACCAACUGGAUGAGCAGCGAACGGGUGAGUAACGCGUGGGGAAUCUGCCUUUGAGCGGGGGACAACAUUUGGAAACGAAUGCUAAUACCGCAUAAAAACUUUAAACACAAGUUUUAAGUUUGAAAGAUGCAAUUGCAUCACUCAAAGAUGAUCCCGCGUUGUAUUAGCUAGUUGGUGAGGUAAAGGCUCACCAAGGCGAUGAUACAUAGCCGACCUGAGAGGGUGAUCGGCCACAUUGGGACUGAGACACGGCCCAAACUCCUACGGGAGGCAGCAGUAGGGAAUCUUCGGCAAUGGACGAAAGUCUGACCGAGCAACGCCGCGUGAGUGAAGAAGGUUUUCGGAUCGUAAAACUCUGUUGGUAGAGAAGAACGUUGGUGAGAGUGGAAAGCUCAUCAGGUGACGGUAACUACCCAGAAAGGGACGGCUAACUACGUG
RNAcentral lists this ribosomal RNA (497 nucleotides) under uncultured bacterium. Its description in RNAcentral is "partial 16S ribosomal RNA". It matches the Rfam family "Bacterial small subunit ribosomal RNA", at positions 28 to 507 of the family's 1533-position model. The record is from RNAcentral.